GACAAGUUGCAGAGGAACAGAGGAAGAAGACGAAUAGGAAAAGCAACGAAAAAUGAGAAACCGACCACAGUGACCCUCGACUUUUUAUUUAUUUAUUUUGGGUUGUAUCCAUAUUAACCUGGUUCUAUUUAGAAAAUUUUAUCAUAUAUCUAAAAAUUAUUCAUUCACCCCUACAUUUUACAUAAAUUCACUAUUAUAUCAUUGUAAAAAUAGUAUUCCAUAUGAUUUUAUUUAUAAUAUUUUUUUU
Molecule: long non-coding RNA, 247 nt
Filed under: Lathyrus oleraceus (garden pea)
Lineage: Eukaryota; Viridiplantae; Streptophyta; Magnoliopsida; Fabales; Fabaceae
Description: Pisum sativum (pea) long non-coding RNA (PSAT_LNC038599)
Source: RNAcentral